Vicugna pacos (alpaca) is the source of this 2297-nucleotide non-coding RNA. The record is from RefSeq and is a predicted model, not a curated record. NCBI's taxonomy places the organism in Eukaryota, Metazoa, Chordata, Mammalia, Artiodactyla, Camelidae.
GACUCAGCCCCAAACACAUGAUGUCAUCGUGUGGGGUGGGGGUGGAGGGGAGAACGCCCUGCCUACAGCAGGUCUGGCGCCCCAGUUCCAAGGGGAUCAGAGGAAGAAGCAGCAAAUGAAUGAAUGACCAAGUUUCUAAAAUAUUGAAGCUGAGUAUCAAGCCUCCUUCUCCCACCCUCGCAAAAAACAGCACAAACCUAACCAGCCUAAGACCCCAGCUCUGGGAACCCCCUCUUCCAGAGGCUUCCUGAGGCCUGUGUGACUGAACGCAUGCAGACUUGCUUUGCCAUCAGCAGAUGGGGCAAUUGUCAGCCAAUGAAUAGCCUAUUGCUCAAUAGAUUAGAGUGGAAAGUGGGCCUUCACCGCUCAAAAGGUGGCACCAGGCCACCAAACGGCACGCCCAGAUGAAAGGCUCCAGGGAGCAGAGCUCCUCUAAAAUGUCACCAUCUGGACUGACACGAGGGUGAGGCUGAUGAGUCAAAGAGCAGGGGCGUGUGGAGGAGAGGAACGCAGGAAUCGGUGUCAGGAGGCCUGGACUGAAGUGCCUGCCCCACCGCUUACUGGAUGGCCUUGACAGCGGUGCGACCUCUCUGAACUUCAGCUCCCUCAUCUGUAAAGCGCAGAUGGUCAUCUCCGCCCCUGCGACAUCCACAGAGCUGAUAUAUCGCUGGAAUGAGAUAAGGUCAAGACUGUUCAUCUAAAUCUGGCACAAGAGAAGCUGGUGUUUGAAGCCAUUGGAACAAGAUGAAAAUAGCUCCCCAGCCUCCCUCUCCCUCGCCUUUCCAGCUCCAGCACCUGACACAGAAGUCACCGGGCCUGCGGCCAGGGCUCGUAGUCCAGACCGUGGUGAAGUUGCCAAGGAGGCUCCCCUGUUAGUUUUGGAUCCACAAGUGAGGCUGGGCCUCGGGCUGCUGGGCUCCACUUGGCCCACAGGCCCCAAACACCUGAGAUGUGAAAGACAGCAUAUGUGGGGCUCUGAUCACCCCGUGUGAGGGCACCAGAUGAACAAACUGAAUGACGUGCCAUCAGCCGUGGGCUUGGAGGAGACCUGUGUCCGGCCGGCAAUUUUUUUCCCGCCUUUUCUACCACAAAGCCAUGUAACAGGCUGGAGCCAUCAAUAAGGUACCGCCCAGGACUGUGCAGGGUCUGGCUGCCCCGAAAUCAAAUCAGAUCAGUGAAAUGAACCCAGCCAUGCCCCACUGUCGGGGGUAAACUGGACCAACAAGGUGCUUGAGGACAGUUUGGAGCAAUCACGCGGGAAGGACCACUGCUCUCCAAGGACCACUGCUGUCUAUUUCGAAGUUGGCACCAAGGGAGGCUCCCUUUAUUCCACUAGGGAUCUCAGCUGGUCACGUUGGAACCACCUGGGGGCUUCAACGUCCUGUUGCUGGUCGACCCCUGGAGGUUCCGACUGAACUAUGCAGGUGGGGCCAGGGCAAGGGGAAUGUUUUCAGAUCUCACCAGGUGGUUCUAACAAACAGAGAAUCACUGCUUUCAGACUUUUGGGAGCUCUUCCUGUAGAAAUGCCUGCAAAGUCUAUGGCUCCCUUGAAUCUUGUCAACAGUAGCCUAUCUCCUUCCCAUAAAGAUAGACUGAAUUUUGUAAAGGCAGCUCAAGUCAUUCAGAACUGAAACUUUAGAAUACGAGUGAAAUACCAGUUUUGUCCCAAACAGGAUGAGAAACGUCUGAGAUGCACCUGGGUUCCUCAUGUGGCUCCCCGGGUGGUUUCCAAGGUGAUAAUUCACUGAGCACCUACCACACACCAGGGGUUACACUGGGGUCAGAGCUCUCAAGGACAUCAGAGCCGCUUCUCCAGACUGCUGGGGACCAAGACCCAGGCCUUGGAUGUCCCUACUACUGAGGCUUCCUCACACUGGUGUCUGUUCGAGGGACUUUGUGAAAUGCCUUGUCCCCCUCCUGCCACACGGAGCUGUGGCCUCAAAAUGUUCCUGGUUUCCAAGGCAAAGGUGCUCUAUGAUCAGCAUCUACCAGAGUGCAUUUGAUCCCAAGCCGUGGCCUGGGGUUCAGGGUAAGUGACCUCCCGUCCCCUCUGUCAUGCCCACCCGCAGGUCCUGCCCACUUUGCCUCAUCUCUUGAUGGAAGGGUCCCAGAAAUAGGUUCUAGAAAAGCAAGCAAAGUGUCAGAGAGGAACAAAACUCAGACUGACAAGGGGAAAGGGAUCACGUGACUUGACUUUUCUCAAUAAUGCUGUGUUUUGACUGCUGGUUUCACUCUGUAACCUUAGCAGGUUUCUGAAUACCUCUAGACCUCAGUUUCCCUGACUGUGAAUAAAGGAG